This 503-nucleotide ribosomal RNA is filed under the name Telescopium telescopium. RNAcentral's name for it is "partial 16S ribosomal RNA". It matches the Rfam family "Bacterial large subunit ribosomal RNA", at positions 1817 to 2597 of the family's 2925-position model. Lineage: Eukaryota; Metazoa; Mollusca; Gastropoda; Potamididae. The record is from RNAcentral.
UGCUCUCUGUUUCUUUUUAUAGAGAGUUGAGCCUGCCCAGUGAAAUUUUUAACGGCCGCGGUACUCUGACCGUGCAAAGGUAGCAUAAUCAUUUGCCUUAUAAUUGAAGGCUAGUAUGAAUGGUUUGACGAAAGCAGAUCUGUCUCCCUUUUACUUCCUAGAAUUUGACUUUUAGGUGAAGAGGCCUAAAUAAUAUUGAAGGACAAGAAGACCCUGUCGAGCUUAAAAGAAUAAAUAGAAGUUAAUAUACUUAUAAAUAAAUAAUCUACUAAGCUUUUUAGUUGGGGCGACUAAGGAACAAAUAGAGCUUCUUCGAUAAAAGAAACCAACAAGUUUAGAUCCAGCGGAAGUCUGAUCAAAGAAAUUAGUUACCGCAGGGAUAACAGCAUAAUCUUCCUUGAGAGACCUAAUCGAAAGGAGGGGUUGUGACCUCGAUGUUGGACUAGAAUAUCCUAAAGAUGCAGAAGUCUUUGAAGGUUGGUCUGUUCGACCAUUAAAAUUCU